UCCCUAGCCUCAGCCGGGCUCUUGGCAGGGCUGCCUGAUGGAGCCAGCUUCCUGGCUAAAACUCAGUCUUUGGUGGCUGUUAACAGGUUUUGCUUCAAUUCAACUAUUUCUGAGUUAGCGUUGGUUGGCUCUGGGGUUAGGGGCAAAGGCCUGGAGUGGGAAACAGGAGAAGGAAAAUGAAAUGAUACUUUGCUUGAAUCUACAGAGUUGAAUUGUCUUCCCACUUUUUGUAGAUUCUGAGGUUAGAUUGGUUUGGUGUUUUCUCUCACUUGCUAAGGUGAAUGGUAAGAAAUGGCCCCCCAAGUACUAUCUGUGGCAUGUUUAGUUCUAGGUUAUUGUAAAAAAGGUGGAGAAGGGAGGUAGGUAGGCCUGAUGUCCCCAUACAUCAGAGAAUAUAAAGAGGCCGAGAGCCAAACGUGUUACAGCUUUUUUCUCAAUGUGUCAAGCAAUUUCCCAAGGUUCUAUAGUCUAUAUCUAGACUAUAGUGGUGUCCACAGAGACCCCAUCUGCCUGGGCUAUAAGAGAAGGAACACUGAAUGACUCAAAUCACGCUGAAACAGAAAGUUUUUCUUAACAAUACAAUAUAAAAGAGAAUAGGCAACAUGAAAGCCUUAGAGAAUUAAUUCACUCCACAAACAUCUGUCCACAGCCUACUUUGUGCCUUGGCACAUGAAGAGAUAAAUAUAGACUUGGGAUCCAAAUUAAUUUCCAAAUAUCACGGGGUGAGUCUCAGUUGUAAGCAGUGAAAAGAGCGGGGAAGAGGAUAUUUACUCUUUUCAAACUUGCCUGCAAGGGAGCUGUGGUGGAAGCAUAGUCCAGGAGGCAAGGAGACCUGGGAUCCUGGAUCACCUCAUUUUACUGAUGAUCACUGUGGCUUCUGGCUGUAAACUCCUUGAGGCAGAGACUCUGAAACCUCAGCAUCAGACAUGGCACAAAGCCUGUACUCUAAACAUCUGUGAAAAGAAUGAGUGAAUGAAUGUGUGAACUCAUACCAUGAACUUCUGGUUAUGAGGAGACCCCUUUCCUGGGAUUCUCUGGGGAGUCUGCAUGCCCUGAUAUCCAUGGGAAAGAAGUUUAGAAAGCAAGAGCCAUGGAAAAUACAGAUGCAAAUGGGAAGGUGUGGCUCCCUUGUCCCUUUUAACGGAAGUUGAGCUUCAAGCAUUCAGGUUUUUGAUCACCCACAUUUCCUCAUCAUUUGGGCACUGAAAGCCUCUCUUCUCGCUGAGGAGCAAAUUGGAAAAACACAUGCCACGAGAGAUUGUACCUCUGAGCAGAUGCAAUUGACGCAGUAAACCAA
Molecule: non-coding RNA, 1297 nt
Organism: Oryctolagus cuniculus (rabbit)
Lineage: Eukaryota; Metazoa; Chordata; Mammalia; Lagomorpha; Leporidae
Source: RefSeq, a predicted model, not a curated record